GACGGAGGGUGCAAGCGUUGUUCGGAAUUACUGGGCGUAAAGCGCGGGCAGGUGGCCUUUUAAGUCCUUUGUGAAAUUCCGGAGCUCAACUCCGGAUGUGCAUAGGAUACUGGAAGGCUAGAGACUGGUAGAGGCGAGCGGAAUUCCUGGUGUAGUGGUGAAAUGCGUAGAUAUCGGGAGGAACACCAGUGGCGAAGGCGGCUUUCUGGUCUGCUCUUGACGCUGAGGCGCGAAAGCUAGGGUAGCAAACGGG
Molecule: ribosomal RNA, 253 nt
Filed under: uncultured bacterium
Lineage: Bacteria
Description: partial 16S ribosomal RNA
Rfam family: Bacterial small subunit ribosomal RNA
Source: RNAcentral